Molecule: long non-coding RNA, 1349 nt
Filed under: Helianthus annuus (common sunflower)
Lineage: Eukaryota; Viridiplantae; Streptophyta; Magnoliopsida; Asterales; Asteraceae
Description: sRNA HanXRQr2_Chr09g0382441
Source: RNAcentral
GGGGCAAUUCCAAUCAACACCAGCCAUUUCUCAGAUGGAUCACAUUUGUGAUCUUGAGUUGUCCCAGGAAGUUGAGCUUCAAAAGAAAUUUGAGGUGUUGAUUAGCUAGCUAUAUAGUUAAAUAUUGACAUCAUUGUUUCUCUAAGGGCCUUUAUGAAAAGUUGCAUCAACAAGACAACUUUUUGGAAUAUUUCAAAGUUUCCAAAUAGAUGAUUGAAUAAGGUUCUUGAGUUCUGCAUUUGACAGUACUUCAGAACAUUCUGCUAAACACAUUUCUUCAAAUAAACUAUUAAAAUAGGACAUGGAAGCAAGCCAGUGCACAUGUCAUAGCGAUACCCCUAGCCUCCUAGCAUGUGAAAAUAAUUCAAUGGCGGCCACCUUGCACGAAAAUCAUGAAAAUAUAAUAACAUAUACAUGAGAAAUUAAACUAGAUCAGAGAACAACACAAUCAGUUGGCAAGAGCCUGGGGAUUCAUACUCAUCAGAAGGCAAUCCAGCAGUUAAAAAACGGGCAUGAACAAAGCAACUGAUGCAAAAUUCCAUGACCUGAUACAGAAAACGCCUUACCUUUCAAAGCCAGAAUCUUCGAAAUCGGAUUCAUAAGAGCCGAGUCAGCCGUAAUUGGCCUCCUUAGCGGCUGCAUUGGCAUGCUCAUGUCAAUGAUCACAACGCUAUUCUGAGGAGACGUUUCGCGAACACAUAUAAACUUAUCCGACUCCAUCGUUACAUUUGUGAACGUAAUAAACUGCGGACUGAUCCCUAUGCUCGGCAACUGCAACAUCAUAAGAUUCAAAAUCAAAACAAAAAUCAUGUCCAAAAGCGGAUCACACUGAACUAUUCUUUCAAAACCACAUCCAUCACUUCAAUCCACAGAUCUGAAAACCUACCACGUAGACCUUCAUUCUCUCCUAAAUCUAAACAGCACGAAGAUCAUAACAUCCAGCACUACACUACUUCGAGUAAAAUUAAUCCUAAAUUAACCUAAUUAAGCAAGUUUUUCACAACUAUCAAAGUACGAUUCCACUUUUAGAACUAGACUUUAUACAAACAUAGUAGAUAUUGCAAUUCACUACAUACAACUCCAAAACGCUAUAUAAAACGACGAAAUUGUGUAAACGAUGCGAGUGUGAAUCUAUCAAUCUAUCCUUUCAAAACCAAAUCCAUCACUUCAAUCCACAGAUCUAGAAACAUACCACACACAUAUUCACUCUCUCCUAAAUCCAAACAAUACGAAGAUCAAAACAUUCAGCAAUACACUACUUCGAGUAAAAUUAACCCUAAACUAACCUAAUUAAGCAAGUUUUUCAUAACUAUCGAAGUGUGCGAUUCCAAUUUCAGAACUAGACUGCA